RNAcentral lists this small RNA (29 nucleotides) under Bombyx mori (domestic silkworm). RNAcentral's name for it is "ovarian small RNA-27781". Lineage: Eukaryota; Metazoa; Arthropoda; Insecta; Lepidoptera; Bombycidae. The record is from RNAcentral.
UCCUCCAAUGACCGCGACGAGGGCGGCGC